UACAGAGGGUGCAAGCGUUAAUCGGAAUUACUGGGCGUAAAGCGUGCGCAGGCGGCUUUGCAAGACAGAUGUGAAAUCCCCGGGCUCAACCUGGGAAUUGCGCUUGUGACUGCAAAGCUGGAGUGCGGCAGAGGGGGAUGGAAUUCCGCGUGUAGCAGUGAAAUGCGUAGAUAUGCGGAGGAACACCGAUGGCGAAGGCAAUCCCCUGGGCCUGCACUGACGCUCAUGCACGAAAGCGUGGGGAGCAAACAGG
This 253-nucleotide ribosomal RNA is filed under the name uncultured bacterium. RNAcentral's name for it is "partial 16S ribosomal RNA". It matches the Rfam family "Bacterial small subunit ribosomal RNA", at positions 524 to 776 of the family's 1533-position model. The record is from RNAcentral.